AUUGAACGCUGGCGGCAGGCCUAACACAUGCAAGUCGAAUGGUAACAGGAAACAGCUUGCUGUUUCGCUGACGAGUGGCGGACGGGUGAGUAAUGUCUGGGAAACUGCCUGAUGGAGGGGGAUAACUACUGGAAACGGUAGCUAAUACCGCAUAACGUCGCAAGCCCAAAGAGGGGGACCUUCGGGCCUCUUGCCAUCAGAUGUGCCCAGAUGGGAUUCGCUAGUAGGUGGGGUAACGGCUCACCUGGGCGACGAUCCCUAGCUGGUCUGAGAGGAUGACCGGCCACACUGGAACGGAGACACGGUCCAGAGGCCUACGGGAGGGAGCAGUGGGGAAUAGUGCACAAUGGGCGGAAGCCUGAUGCAGCCAGGCCGCGUGUAUGAAGAAGGCCUUCGGGUUGUAAAGUACUUUCAGCGGGGAGGAAGGGAGUAAAGUUAAGACCUUGGCUCAGUGACGUUACCCGCAGAAGAAGCACCGGCUAACUCCGUG
This 490-nucleotide ribosomal RNA is filed under the name uncultured bacterium. Its description in RNAcentral is "partial 16S ribosomal RNA". It matches the Rfam family "Bacterial small subunit ribosomal RNA", at positions 29 to 507 of the family's 1533-position model. The record is from RNAcentral.